Molecule: transfer RNA, 93 nt
Filed under: Candidatus Cloacimonetes bacterium HGW-Cloacimonetes-1
Lineage: Bacteria; Pseudomonadati; Candidatus Cloacimonadota
Description: tRNA-Ser
Rfam family: tRNA
About the family: Transfer RNA (tRNA) molecules are approximately 80 nucleotides in length. Their secondary structure includes four short double-helical elements and three loops (D, anti-codon, and T loops).
Source: RNAcentral
GGAGAUGUGUCCGAGCUGGCUGAAGGAGCACGAUUGGAAAUUGUGUGUAUGUGGAAACGUGUACCUAGGGUUCGAAUCCCUACAUCUCCGCCA